UUGUGGCCGAACCGCCGAACUCAGAGGCCGGCCCCAGAAAACCCGAGCGAGUAGGGGGCGGCGCGCAGGAGGGAGGAGAACUGGGGGCGCGGGAGGCUGGUGGGUGUGGGGGGUGGAGAUGUAGAAGAUGUGACGCCGCGGCCCGGCGGGUGCCAGAUUAGCGGACGCGGUGCCCGCGGUUGCAACGGGAUCCCGGGCGCUGCAGCUUGGGAGGCGGCUCUCCCCAGGCGGCGUCCGCGGAGACACCCAUCCGUGAACCCCAGGUCCCGGGCCGCCGGCUCGCCGCGCACCAGGGGCCGGCGGACAGAAGAGCGGCCGAGCGGCUCGAGGCUGGGGGACCGCGGGCGCGGCCGCGCGCUGCCGGGCGGGAGGCUGGGGGGCCGGGGCCGGGGCCGUGCCCCGGAGCGGGUCGGAGGCCGGGGCCGGGGCCGGGGGACGGCGGCUCCCCGCGCGGCUCCAGCGGCUCGGGGAUCCCGGCCGGGCCCCGCAGGGACCAUG
Molecule: regulatory RNA element, 498 nt
Organism: Homo sapiens (human)
Lineage: Eukaryota; Metazoa; Chordata; Mammalia; Primates; Hominidae
Rfam family: FGF-2 internal ribosome entry site (IRES)
About the family: This family represents the fibroblast growth factor 2 (FGF-2) internal ribosome entry site (IRES). When expressed the FGF-2 protein plays a pivotal role in cell proliferation, differentiation and survival as well as being involved in wound-healing.
Source: Rfam